Molecule: ribosomal RNA, 253 nt
Filed under: uncultured bacterium
Lineage: Bacteria
Description: partial 16S ribosomal RNA
Rfam family: Bacterial small subunit ribosomal RNA
Source: RNAcentral
UACAGAGGGUGCAAGCGUUAAUCGGAAUUACUGGGCGUAAAGCGCGCGUAGGUGGUUUGUUAAGUUGGAUGUGAAAGCCCCGGGCUCAACCUGGGAACUGCAUCCAAAACUGGCAAGCUAGAGUACGGUAGAGGGUGGUGGAAUUUCCUGUGUAGCGGUGAAAUGCGUAGAUAUAGGGAGGAACACCAGUGGCGAAGGCGACCACCUGGACUGCAACUGACACUGAGGAACGAAAGCCAGGGGAGCAAACGGG